Molecule: transfer RNA, 85 nt
Filed under: Felis catus (domestic cat)
Lineage: Eukaryota; Metazoa; Chordata; Mammalia; Carnivora; Felidae
Also listed under: 3 other names
Rfam family: tRNA
About the family: Transfer RNA (tRNA) molecules are approximately 80 nucleotides in length. Their secondary structure includes four short double-helical elements and three loops (D, anti-codon, and T loops). Further hydrogen bonds mediate the characteristic L-shaped molecular structure. tRNAs have two regions of fundamental functional importance: the anti-codon, which is responsible for specific mRNA codon recognition, and the 3' end, to which the tRNAs corresponding amino acid is attached (by aminoacyl-tRNA synthetases). tRNAs cope with the degeneracy of the genetic code in two manners: having more than one tRNA (with a specific anti-codon) for a particular amino acid; and 'wobble' base-pairing, i.e. permitting non-standard base-pairing at the 3rd anti-codon position.
Source: Rfam by way of RNAcentral
GCCUGGGUGGCUCAGUCGGUUGAGCGCCCAAUUUCAGCUCAGGUCAUGAUCUCACGGUUUGUGGGUUCGAGCCCCACUUCGGACU